GACGAACGCUGGCGGCGUGCCUAAUACAUGCAAGUUGAGCGCUGAAGGUUGGUACUUGUACCAACUGGAUGAGCAGCGAACGGGUGAGUAACGCGUGGGGAAUCUGCCUUUGAGCGGGGGACAACAUUUGGAAACGAAUGCUAAUACCGCAUAAAAACUUUAAACACAAGUUUUAAGUUUGAAAGAUGCAAUUGCAUCACUCAAAGAUGAUCCCGCGUUGUAUUAGCUAGUUGGUGAGGUAAAGGCUCACCAAGGCGAUGAUACAUAGCCGACCUGAGAGGGUGAUCGGCCACCUUGGGACUGAGACCCGGCCCAAACUCCUACGGGAGGCAGCAGUAGGGAAUCUUCGGCAAUGGACGAAAGUCUGACCGAGCAACGCCGCGUGAGUGAAGAAGGUUGUCGGAUCGUAAAACUCUGUUGGUAGAGAAGAACGUUGGUGAGAGUGGAAAGCUCAUCAAGUGACGGUAACUACCCAGAAAGGGACGGCUAACUACGUG
RNAcentral lists this ribosomal RNA (497 nucleotides) under uncultured bacterium. RNAcentral describes it as "partial 16S ribosomal RNA". It matches the Rfam family "Bacterial small subunit ribosomal RNA", at positions 28 to 507 of the family's 1533-position model. The record is from RNAcentral.